GACGAACGCUGGCGGCGUGCUUAACACAUGCAAGUCGAACGGAAAGGCCCGGCGUUUGUGGGUUGCUCGAUUGGCGAAGGGGUGAGUAACACGUGAGUAACCUCCCCUUGUCUUUGUGAGAACUUUUGGGAACUGGGGCUAAUACCGCGGAGGAGCUCCUGAAGCAUGUGGGUGGUUGGAAAGUUUCGGCGGUGGGGGCUGGACUCGCGGUUUAUGAGCUGGUUGGUGGGGUAGUUAAGUACCAGGCCUGGGACGGGUAGCCGGCCUGAGAGGGUUACCGGCCACAUUGGGACUAAGAGACGGCCCAGAAUCCUACGGGAGGCAGCAGUGGGGAAUCUUGCGCAGUGGGCGGAAGCCUGAUGCAGCAGUGCCGCGUGCGGAAUGACGGCCUUCGGGUUGUAAACCGCUUUCGCAUGUGACGAAGCGUGAGUGACGGUAAUGGGUAAAGAAGCAACGGCUAACUACGUG
RNAcentral lists this ribosomal RNA (468 nucleotides) under uncultured bacterium. RNAcentral describes it as "partial 16S ribosomal RNA". It matches the Rfam family "Bacterial small subunit ribosomal RNA", at positions 28 to 507 of the family's 1533-position model. The record is from RNAcentral.